This 468-nucleotide ribosomal RNA is filed under the name uncultured bacterium. Its description in RNAcentral is "partial 16S ribosomal RNA". It matches the Rfam family "Bacterial small subunit ribosomal RNA", at positions 28 to 507 of the family's 1533-position model. The record is from RNAcentral.
GACGAACGCUGGCGGCGUGCUUAACACAUGCAAGUCGAACGGAAAGGCCCUGCUCUUGUUGGGUUCUCGAGUGGCGAACGGGUGAGUAACACGUGAGUAACCUGCCCUUGUCUGUGGGAUAACUUCAGGAAACUGGGGCUAUAACCGCAGAGGAGCUCUUGAUCCGUGUGGGUGGUUGGAAAAUUUCGGUGGUUGGGGAUGGACUAGAUGCUUACCAGCUGCUUGGUGGGGUAGUGGCGUACCAGGGCUUUGACGGGUAGCCGGCAUGAGAGGGUGACCGGCCACCUUGGGACUGAGAUACGGCGCAGACUCCUACGGGAGGCAGUAGUGGGGAGUAUUGCACAAUGGGCGGACGUGUGAUGCAGAAGCGCCGCGUGCGGGAUGCCGGCCUUCGGGUUGUAAACCGAUUUCGCCUGUGACGAAGCGUGAGUGACGGUAAUGGGUCAAGAAGCACCGGCUAACUACGUG